RNAcentral lists this ribosomal RNA (497 nucleotides) under uncultured bacterium. RNAcentral's name for it is "partial 16S ribosomal RNA". It matches the Rfam family "Bacterial small subunit ribosomal RNA", at positions 28 to 507 of the family's 1533-position model. The record is from RNAcentral.
GAUGAACGCUGGCGGCGUGCCUAAUACAUGCAAGUCGAGCGAACAGACGAGGAGCUUGCUCCUCUGACGUUAGCGGCGGACGGGUGAGUAACACGUGGAUAACCUACCUAUAAGACUGGGAUAACUUCGGGAAACCGGAGCUAAUACCGGAUAAUAUAUUGAACCGCAUGGUUCAAUAGUGAAAGACGGUUUUGCUGUCACUUAUAGAUGGAUCCGCGCCGCAUUAGCUAGUUGGUAAGGUAACGGCUUACCAAGGCAACGAUGCGUAGCCGACCUGAGAGGGUGAUCGGCCACACUGGAACUGAGACACGGUCCAGGCUCCUACGGGAGGCAGCAGUAGGGAAUCUUCCGCAAUGGGCGAAAGCCUGACGGAGCAACGCCGCGUGAGUGAUGAAGGUCUUCGGAUCGUAAAACUCUGUUAUUAGGGAAGAACAAAUGUGUAAGUAACUAUGCACGUCUUGACGGUACCUAAUCAGAAAGCCACGGCUAACUACGUG